GGACCUGACUGCUAUCGGAUUGAUACUAAGCCAUGCGAGUCAUUGUAGCAAUACAAGGCAUACGGCUCAGUAACGCGUAGUCAACCUAACCUAUGGACGGGAAUAACCUCGGGAAACUGAGAAUAAUGCCCGAUAGAACAUUAUGCCUGGAAUGGUUUGUGUUCCAAAUGAUUUAUCGCCGUAGGAUGGGACUGCGGCCUAUCAGUUUGUUGGUGAGGUAAUGGCCCACCAAGACUAUUACAGGUACGGGCUCUGAGAGGAGUAGCCCGGAGAUGGGUACUGAGACACGGACCCAGGCCCUAUGGGGCGCAGCAGGCGAGAAAACUUUGCAAUGUGCGAAAGCACGACAAGGUUAAUCCGAGUGGUUUCUGCUAAAGAAACCUUUUGUCAGUCCUAGAAACACUGAUGAAUGAGGGGUGGGCAAGUUCUGGUGU
This 434-nucleotide ribosomal RNA is filed under the name uncultured archaeon. RNAcentral describes it as "bacterial SSU rRNA". It matches the Rfam family "Archaeal small subunit ribosomal RNA", at positions 19 to 458 of the family's 1478-position model. The record is from RNAcentral.